Molecule: ribosomal RNA, 520 nt
Filed under: uncultured Glomus
Lineage: Eukaryota; Fungi; Glomeromycota; Glomeromycetes; Glomerales; Glomeraceae
Description: SSU rRNA
Rfam family: Eukaryotic small subunit ribosomal RNA
Source: RNAcentral
AGCAGCCGCGGUAAUUCCAGCUCCAAUAGCGUAUAUUAAAGUUGUUGCAGUUAAAAAGCUCGUAGUUGAAUUUCGGGGUUAAUAAGUUGGUCAUACCUAUGGUAUGUACUGGCUUCAUUGAUUCCUACCUCUUGACGAACUGUGAUGCCAUUAAUUUGGUGUUGCAAGGAAUCAGGACUGUUACCUUGAAAAAAUUGAGUGUUUAAAGCAGGCUUACGCUUGAAUACAUUAGCAUGGAAUAAUGAAAUAGGACGUUUGAACCUAUUUUGUUGGUUUCUAGGAUCGACGUAAUGAUUAAUAGGGAUAGUUGGGGGCAUUAGUAUUCAAUUGUCAGAGGUGAAAUUCUUGGAUUUAUUGAAGACUAACUACUGCGAAAGCAUUUGCCAAGGAUGUUUUCAUUAAUCAAGAACGAAAGUUAGGGAUCGAAGACGAUCAGAUACCGUCGUAGUCUUAACCAUAAACUAUGCCGACUAGGGAUCGGAUGAUGUUAAUUUUUAUGUACUUCAUUCGGCGCCUUACG